CGCCUCUGUUUGGAGGUCGACCACUGUGUCAAAGAUUGCCCACACAAAAAGCCAGUCCGGCCGAGGAGCUCAAACAACAAUAUCCCAAGGCCCAACGAUGCUAACAAUUCUAAUCCACACACAAAAAACGACCCCAACAAUAACUCUCAAGACCACGAGAAUAAAAGCACAGCUCUGAACAAUUCACAACCAAUUCAAAAAACUACCUCGAUACAGGUUGAUGCAGAGGGAUUCAUCACAGUAAAGAGGGGACGAAGGAGUCUCAGAGGCCCAUCACAACUUGCCUUUGACCCAGCCCCCAUACACAGUACUGAAGAAAGCCUGAGGGCGAAAGACACAACAAUGGUACAUACCACCACUGUUGAUCAAAACACAGUCUUGCCAGCAAGUUCACAACUACCAAACCAAUGAGUUUCGGCAACAACACCACUAGGUAAACAUCUCACUCCUAACCAAACUUGAAACUACACUAAGCUGAAUAACCUCAUGCCAGUAGACGCCUCCAAUCGAGACCACAGUCCCGCAAUGAAGGAAACCAACACGAGCUCACUGACCAUAGCGGAUCAAGCCUUGCAAAAAGGGCAACUAUCCACAGCAGGGACCACCCUCCCCAGCAGAUUGAGCCAUCCGUCAAAAUUUGCUAAAUCUACACUGAGCGUGAUACCUUCAACGCUCCAGACCAUCCCAAAAAAAUCUAAAGCAAGAAGAUAGUCUGCCAAAUUUUCACCACCGCAACGCGGAGGCAGACCGACACCAACAUUUGGAACAGCAAGAUGACACCGCAACAGGAAUGGGCUGGGGCACCUUCCCUACUUGGAAUCCAACAUCCCCGUAUCCAAAACCUUGCCCACCUAUUGAUCUGAACAUCAACUUAACAACACUGGAGGGGCAGCGUGAACCACCAACGUUUAAAAGAGACAGCUUCACGGAGUGGCAAAUCUGGCGAAGAUUCAACAUGGAAUCCUUGACCUCUUCUAGCUCGCGGAAUUGGAGCAGAAGCAAGAGCCCACCGCGGGGCCAUCCACCCUAGUCAUCCAAAGCCUCUCUCUAGUCGCCGAAAUCAGCAAAGAAAAACACUAGGUACCUCGGCAGCCUGCUGAUGACAUGCACUUCAUUAUUUGCUUUAUAAAUCUAAGGAUUAUAACAUUUAACGUCCGUAUGUUCAAUGGCAC
This 1172-nucleotide long non-coding RNA is filed under the name Physcomitrium patens. Its description in RNAcentral is "long non-coding RNA (PPAT_LNC000881)". The record is from RNAcentral. Lineage: Eukaryota; Viridiplantae; Streptophyta; Bryopsida; Funariales; Funariaceae.